GACGAACGCUGGCGGCGUGCCUAAUACAUGCAAGUAGAACGCUGAAGAGAGGAGCUUGCUCUUCUUGGAUGAGUUGCGAACGGGUGAGUAACGCGUAGGUAACCUGCCUUGUAGCGGGGGAUAACUAUUGGAAACGAUAGCUAAUACCGCAUAACAAUGGAUGACACAUGUCAUUUAUUUGAAAGGGGCAAUUGCUCCACUACAAGAUGGACCUGCGUUGUAUUAGCUAGUAGGUGAGGUAAUGGCUCACCUAGGCGACGAUACAUAGCCGACCUGAGAGGGUGGUCGGCCACACUGGGAUUGCGACACGGCCCAGACUCCUACGGGAGGCAGCAGUAGGGAAUCUUCGGCAAUGGGGGCAACCCUGACCGAGCAACGCCGCGUGAGUGAAGAAGGUUUUCGGAUCGUAAAGCUCUGUUGUAAGUCAAGAACGGGUGUGAGAGUGGAAAGUUCACACUGUGACGGUAGCUUACCAGAAAGGGACGGCUAACUACGUG
This 497-nucleotide ribosomal RNA is filed under the name uncultured bacterium. RNAcentral describes it as "partial 16S ribosomal RNA". It matches the Rfam family "Bacterial small subunit ribosomal RNA", at positions 28 to 507 of the family's 1533-position model. The record is from RNAcentral.